UGUCUGCAUUGAAUGAAUUGUUAUUU
This 26-nucleotide non-coding RNA is filed under the name Mus musculus (house mouse). Lineage: Eukaryota; Metazoa; Chordata; Mammalia; Rodentia; Muridae. The record is from RNAcentral.